AUUGAACGCUGGCGGCAUGCCUUACACAUGCAAGUCGAACGGCAGCACGGGAGCAAUCCUGGUGGCGAGUGGCGAACGGGUGAGUAAUGUAUCGGAACGUACCUUUCAGUGGGGGAUAACGUAGCGAAAGUUACGCUAAUACCGCAUAUUCUGUGAGCAGGAAAGCAGGGGAUCGCAAGACCCUGCGCUGAUUGAGCGGCCGAUAUCAGAUUAGCUAGUUGGUGAGGUAAAGGCUCACCAAGGCGACGAUCUGUAGCGGGUCUGAGAGGAUGAUCCGCCACACUGGAACUGAGACACGGUCCAGACUCCUACGGGAGGCAGCAGUGGGGAAUUUUGGACAAUGGGCGCAAGCCUGAUCCAGCCAUGCCGCGUGAGUGAAGAAGGCCUCGGUUGU
RNAcentral lists this ribosomal RNA (394 nucleotides) under uncultured bacterium. RNAcentral's name for it is "bacterial SSU rRNA". It matches the Rfam family "Bacterial small subunit ribosomal RNA", at positions 30 to 426 of the family's 1533-position model. The record is from RNAcentral.